RNAcentral lists this ribosomal RNA (253 nucleotides) under uncultured bacterium. RNAcentral's name for it is "partial 16S ribosomal RNA". It matches the Rfam family "Bacterial small subunit ribosomal RNA", at positions 524 to 776 of the family's 1533-position model. The record is from RNAcentral.
GACGUAGGGCGCGAGCGUUGUCCGGAUUUAUUGGGCGUAAAGAGCUCGUAGGCGGCUUGUCGCGUCGUGUGUGAAAUCUCAGGGCUCAACUCUGACAUUGCAUACGAUACGGGCAGGCUUGAGUUCGGUAGGGGAGACUGGAAUUCCUGGUGUAGCGGUGAAAUGCGCAGAUAUCAGGAGGAACACCGGUGGCGAAGGCGGAUCUCUGGGCCGAUACUGACGCUGAGGAGCGAAAGCGUGGGGAGCGAACAGG